GACGAACGCUGGCGGCGUGCUUAACACAUGCAAGUCGAACGGAAAGGCCCUGCUUUUGUGGGGUGCUCGAGUGGCGAACGGGUGAGUAACACGUGAGUAACCUGCCCUUGACUUUGGGAUAACUUCAGGAAACUGGGGCUAAUACCGGAUAGGAGCUCCUGCUGCAUGGUGGGGGUUGGAAAGUUUCGGCGGUUGGGGAUGGACUCGCGGCUUAUUAGCUUGUUGGUGGGGUAGUUGCUUACCAAGGCUUUGACGGGUAGCCGGCCUGAGAGGGUGACCGGCCACAUUGGGACUGAGAUACGGCCCAGACUCCUACGGGAGGCAGCAGUGGGGAAUAUUGCACAAUGGGCGGGAGCCUGAUGCAGCAACGCCGCGUGCGGGAUGACGGCCUUCGGGUUGUAAACCGCUUUCGCCUGUGACGAAGCGUGAGUGACGGUAAUGGGUAAAGAAGCACCGGCUAACUACGUG
Molecule: ribosomal RNA, 468 nt
Filed under: uncultured bacterium
Lineage: Bacteria
Description: partial 16S ribosomal RNA
Rfam family: Bacterial small subunit ribosomal RNA
Source: RNAcentral